This 342-nucleotide ribosomal RNA is filed under the name uncultured soil bacterium. Its description in RNAcentral is "bacterial SSU rRNA". It matches the Rfam family "Bacterial small subunit ribosomal RNA", at positions 26 to 355 of the family's 1533-position model. The record is from RNAcentral.
AGAAUCAACGCUGGCGGCGUGCCUAACACAUGCAAGUCGAACGCGAAAGCCCCGCAAGGGGCAAGUAGAGUGGCAAACGGGUGAGUAACACGUGGGUGACCUGCCUUCGAGCGGGGGAUAACGUCCCGAAAGGGACGCUAAUACCGCAUAACAUCCUGCCUUUGAAGAGGUGGAGAUCAAAGCUGGGGAUCGCAAGACCCGGCACUUGAAGAGGGCCCGCGUCUGAUUAGCUAGGUUGGUGGGGUAACGCCUACAAGGCAACGAUCAGUAUCCGGCUGAGAGGGCGGACGACACGACGUGGACUGAGACGACGGACCCAGACUCCGUACGGGAGCAGCAGGU